GCUUCGGUUCAGUUGUCAGCUCGUUAGCUUACAACCACAGUUGCAUGCAAAUGGCAUUUCACGCACUGUUACAGAUUAACCGUUCAAGAGAAGCCAUACAGUCAUCACUGCCCAUGACCAUCCGAAUGGCAAAAACGGCCUUUUGCAACCCGGAUACGUCCACCCUAUCUCUUCACCUGCCUUGUUCCUAGUCAUCUCUUCACAUCAAUACAGCAUGUGCACAAACUCACCCUAAGCUGUCCUGUUGCUGGCCGGAUUUGACCUCCCGACGCAGUAUGAAAGCCUGCAAGAGCAGGUCGGCGAUGGAGCUUGAUUUCUUACGUGGUACUGACUACCAAUAUCCUCGUCUUCGCAGCGACCACUGGCUAGUGGUGCAGCAGUGAAACUCAAAACUGUUCCUGUGCCGCCUACCUCCCACAAUCAAGCAACGCUGGCUAAUAUCGCCGCCUCUCCUGCGUGGGCAAUCGAUAAGACCAUCAUUCAGACACAUCCUCAACACGGCGUGCGGCGCAGCUCCACAGAGUUGCGGUCUUCUGUCAAACCUUUGCAGGUGGCCUAGAUUGACACGGAACGCACCGCAUGGCAAGCACCCGCAAUAAUACCCAUACUUUACAGACGCGCCAUGGCUGCGCGGCACAGGCCGAACGCUUCGCCCAAAAUGCCACGACCGCCCUCACGCGCGCAAUCGUGGCAUGAAUGCAUGCCGCACCGCAAAGACUCACCAGCGCAGGGCGCGAGUGGGGCACCGCGACUGCUGCAGAGUCUGGCAAGGCCGCUGCCUCUUCACGCCGACAUGCGGUUAGAAACCAAUCUGUCCAUACUUACCUCAUAGUAGCCGUCACGUGGCCGGUCGCGGUAGCUACCGCCGCUCCCGUAUGAUCCUGACCUGUAACCGUCGUCGCCACGCCGGUCGUAGUCACGCCGGUCAUCAUAGCCCCGCCCCCGCCCACCAUCCUCGUAGCCCUUGCCGCGGUAGUCGUCGUGCCCCCGGCCGCGAUAGUCGUCAUAGCCCCGCCCGCGGGAAUCUUCGAAACCCCGGCUCUGGCUGUCGUGCCCCCGGUUAUCACGCCUGCAAGGCAUAAAUUUGGUAUGCUGGUAUUCACAGCGCCCUCAGCCCCAGAGGGCCUCAAAGCAGUAAAAGUUGAGCUCCCUCAGCAGCCAAUAUAAGGAUACGUCUGUAUAGUAUGAAUGAUGAAUGGCUGCCAAGCAAGGCGCCCGAGCUGUGUGAAUGCCACAACGCAACCAAGCUGCACAUGAUUUAUGGUGGCAGCUUAUAACUAAGCCAAAUGCCGCCCACGCAC
RNAcentral lists this long non-coding RNA (1301 nucleotides) under Volvox carteri. RNAcentral's name for it is "long non-coding RNA (VCAR_LNC000979)". Lineage: Eukaryota; Viridiplantae; Chlorophyta; Chlorophyceae; Chlamydomonadales; Volvocaceae. The record is from RNAcentral.